This is a non-coding RNA of Phrynosoma platyrhinos (Desert horned lizard), 72 nucleotides long. NCBI's taxonomy places the organism in Eukaryota, Metazoa, Chordata, Lepidosauria, Squamata, Phrynosomatidae. The record is from the annotation of a GenBank genome assembly.
GCUGAUGUGCUGUAGUGGUUUCAGUUUUAGACUAGAAAUCUGGGAAGCCAAAGUUCAAAUCCCUGCUGAGCA